CUCUCCGCCGGAUCCCUGCCCUAUCCCGCCCGCUCCCCGCCCGAUCUCCGCCCGCUCCCCGCCGGAUCCCGCCAGCUUCCCGCCCGCCCCACGCCCGAUCCCGCUUGCUCCCCGCCCGCUCCCCGCUGCCAGCCCCCAGGCGCCCGCAGCCCGGGCCCCAGGCCACCGCCCUGUCCCCCGCGCCCCGCCCCUCCCUCCGCAGUCUGGGUAGACCCAGCCGGGCCCCCGCUCCCCGCCCCGAGCCGCGCCCCCGGGCCCCCCACGGCCAUCCCGCCCGCCGGCCUCGGGCUCCGCGUCCCUUCCGCUCCCAGCUCCCGGCUCACAGCCCGUCGCCCUGCUCCUCGGUCCCCGAGCAGCACCCAGCGCUGCCCAGCGCCCCUCCCCUCGCGGCCCGCACCCCCGUCCCGCACCGUCUGGCUCAGUCCGUCCCUACGUGUCCCCGCCCGCAACGCCCCGAGUCCCCCAGCGGCCGCUCGCGCUCCCCCACCUCCCGCCGCCCCUGCCCUCGGAGCAGCCCUCGGCGCCCCUCCCCGGGCCCGCGCCUCGCCCCGGCCGCGGUGCCCCCUCCGCAGGCCUCCCGCCGCCCUGCUCCUCUGGGUCCCUCCCGCCGCCCGCGCCCCUGGCCCCGCUCGCCGCCGCCCGCGCCCCGAUUCCCUCCGCGAGGGGAACCCGGGCCGCGCCCCUUACCUGGGACUCCGGGCGCGGGACGGGCGGCUGGCCGCCGGCAAAGCAGCGGGACCGCAGACCGGGCGGCCGGGGGCGCAGCGGGGCUCGCGGACCGGGCGGGGCGGGCGCCCACGGCGGCUACUUGGGGCUGAGGCGCCGGCGACUGCGCGGAGGCCCCGCCCACGGCCGCCCAGGCCCCGCCCACGGCCGCCCAGGCCCCGCCCACGGCCGCCCGAUGGGGGCGGAGCCCGCGUCCGUCCCGCCCCGCCCCAGGCUCGAGCUGCCGCCAGGUGUAGGAAAUCCGUGGUACCUUGGGCCCCCGCCCCCCACCCCGAGUUCGCCGAUAUCUGGGCCACUACUGUGAUUUGUCACGUCUCAUCCCGCAGACUGAACUUACGACGGUGA
Molecule: long non-coding RNA, 1071 nt
Filed under: Canis lupus familiaris (dog)
Lineage: Eukaryota; Metazoa; Chordata; Mammalia; Carnivora; Canidae
Description: lncRNA (ENSCAFG00040008437.1)
Source: RNAcentral